AACUAAUAUAAAAUUCCUCCUCCUAUUAAUGCAAAAUUCAUUAUUAACCGAAAACAGGCUUCAGAAAUUUAAAGUACAUGAACCUCUGCGUGGAGAUGAAUGAAUGGUUAGCUAGAAAAUUACAUGGUGUGAAUGAUACGCUUUAGAAAUUUUUUGAGGUUUCACUGCAAAAUAUGACACAUAUUGUUGUGCGUGCAUCGCGGAUGUUUAAAUAGAAUAUUAGAUUUUAGAAAAUGAUCAGAAAUCGAGUACAAGAGAAGUGGAUUAUCUCGUGAUUAGGGUUUUUAUUAUUUUUUUGUUUAACUUGGUGCGUUUUGUGUUCAAAUCCUUCAUUACUUAAAUACACAUGAUUCUAUAAAUUAUUUAUUAAGUAGCUAUGUGCCUAGAUAUAGAAAAUAUUAGAGAGAUCAUAUUGUCGUAUCAUAUAUUGAUGUAUCGUUUGAUGUGACGAGCGUUCAUCGCUAACCAGUUAGUGUUUUAACAUGAAAUUAGCCACUUGUUUGGACUUAUUGAACAAUAUUUCUCAUAAUAUGAACAUAUCAUUUUUCUUAAGGUUCUCAUGGAAAUAUCAUCCCUGCAAAAAUUGACUAAAAUCGAAUAUCAUGUGGUUAUCUAAUUAUGACAUAAUAAAAUAGACCAAGACAGAGUUGUUGAUAAAAUAUAAAAAUGUUCACAACAAUAGUUAAAGAGAUAUAAAUGAUUUUUUAUUUGCAUGAUUUUUUACAAGAAUAAUUUACUAAUAAUAUCCAAAAAUCUGCGCAGUUCGAAUGAGAUUACAUUGUGAAAUAGGUUUAACAAAUAAUUUAACGCCGUAUUACAAUACUAACUAAUUACGUAUUUAGCGAUCAUAUAUAGGGGUGGUUCGGUAUGGGAUCCCGUACCGAAACCCUUGUCCCGAUUCCCAUACCGAAAUUUUCGGGAAUCCCAAUUUCAAUACCGAUCCCAAACCAAAUUUUCGGGAAUCCCGAAAUAGUUUCGGGAUUUCGGGACAAAUCGGGAAUCCCAAAAAAAAUUUGGGCUUUUGGACAAAAAAAAGCUAAUAUUGGUCCAAUUGGACAAAACCUAAUAUUGGGCCAUGCCCACUGAAUGUAACAGCCCCCAUAUGGGCUUAACUUGAUUCAACCAAAUAAAAAAAAUAUUGGGAUAAUUGAUGUUGGCCCGAGUCUGCCAUUCUGUGCUGUUACUUAUACCCUAAGGUUGGUCACAAAGUAUGAAAAUGUAGGGUUCACAAAGUUUUGGGUAACAUCAAUCUGUGUUGUUAGGACAAAAACCUAUGAAAAUGUAAUUUACCCUAUUCAAAAGCAAUCUGCCAAUUGCCAAUCUGUGCACAAUUGCAUAUGCCUAUUCAAGUUCUACUACACAUGCAUGCAAUAAAAAUAAAUUAAGUACCAAAUCCAAAAGCAAAAAUAUUAGUUACAAGCCAAGGUUUUAAAAUAAAUAAAGUAACAAACCCAAAAGCAAAAAAAUUAGUUACAAUCCAAAGUUUUAAUAAUUAAGUUACAAACCAAAAGCAAAAAAACAAAGUUUCAAGUUUAUGAAGAUUGUUGACCUCUUCGGCCUCUUCGGCCCCUUCUUGUUGGCACUUGUAAUUUUCCCCUUGAUGUUGAUGGUUGAGCC
This 1617-nucleotide long non-coding RNA is filed under the name Malus domestica (apple). Its description in RNAcentral is "long non-coding RNA (MDOM_LNC015180)". The record is from RNAcentral. Lineage: Eukaryota; Viridiplantae; Streptophyta; Magnoliopsida; Rosales; Rosaceae.